RNAcentral lists this ribosomal RNA (392 nucleotides) under uncultured bacterium. RNAcentral's name for it is "partial 16S ribosomal RNA". It matches the Rfam family "Bacterial small subunit ribosomal RNA", at positions 523 to 918 of the family's 1533-position model. The record is from RNAcentral.
AUACGGAGGAUCCGAGCGUUAUCCGGAUUUAUUGGGUUUAAAGGGUGCGCAGGCGGCCAUUUAAGUCAGCGGUUAAAUCGUGGGGCUCAACCCCAUUCUGCCGUUGAUACUGGGUGGCUUGAUUGCGGUCGAGGUUGGCGGAAUUCGUUGUGUAGCGGUGAAAUGCAUAGAUAUGACGAAGAACACCGAUUGCGUAGGCAGCUGACCAGACCGCAAAUGACGCUCAUGCACGAAAGUGCGGGGAUCGAACGGGAUUAGAUACCCUGGUAGUCCGCACAGUAAACGAUGAAUACUCGCUGUUUGCGAUACACUGUAAGCGGCCAAGCGAAAGCGUUAAGUAUUCCACCUGGGGAGUACGCCGGCAACGGUGAAACUCAAAGGAAUUGGCGGGG